GACGUAGGAGGCGAGCGUUGUCCGGAUUCAUUGGGCGUAAAGAGCACGCAGGCGGUUUGGCAAGUCGGAUGUGAAAACCCGGAGCUCAACUCCGGACCUGCAUCCGAAACUGCCCGACUAGAGGUAGGUAGGGGAGAUCGGAAUUCCUGGUGUAGCGGUGAAAUGCGCAGAUAUCAGGAAGAACACCAAUGGCGAAGGCAGCUCUCUGGGACGGUACUGACGCUGAGACGCGAAAGCGUGGGGAGCGAACAGG
RNAcentral lists this ribosomal RNA (253 nucleotides) under uncultured bacterium. RNAcentral's name for it is "partial 16S ribosomal RNA". It matches the Rfam family "Bacterial small subunit ribosomal RNA", at positions 524 to 776 of the family's 1533-position model. The record is from RNAcentral.